This 404-nucleotide ribosomal RNA is filed under the name uncultured bacterium. RNAcentral's name for it is "bacterial SSU rRNA". It matches the Rfam family "Bacterial small subunit ribosomal RNA", at positions 355 to 775 of the family's 1533-position model. The record is from RNAcentral.
UGAGGGAUAUUGGGCAAUGGGCGCAAGCCUGACCCAGCGACGCCGCGUGGAGGACGACGCGUUUCGGCGUGUAAACUCCUUUUGUCAGGGACGAGCAAGGACGGUACCUGGCGAAUAAGUCUCGGCUAACUACGUGCCAGCAGCCGCGGUAAUACGUAGGAGGCAAGCGUUAUCCGGAAUUACUGGGCGUAAAGGGCGUCUAGGUGGUCUGGAAAGCGGGGUGUGAAAGCUCUCGGCUCAACUGAGAGAGUGCGCUCCGAACUAGCGGACUAGAGGACAGGCGACGCAGGUGGAAUACCCGGUGGAGUGGUGAAAUGCGUAGAGAUCGGGUGGAACACCAGUGGCGCAGGCGGCCUGCGAGCCUGUUUCUGACACUGAAGCGCGACAGCGUGGGGAGCAAACGG